UCGCCUCUUUCCAUUUUAAUUCCUCAAACCAUAUCCUAGUCCCCCAUUUUUUUUAGUCUGCCGCCCUUGAAUACUCUCCACUCCCAAAUUCUCUUGAAGUUUCUUCGAAACUCCAGCCGUCUCCGACCCUUUUCUAUCGUACUUCCAUCGAAAUCCAUGGAUUCUAAGGCUAUGAAUGGUCUAUAAUCACCCCCUUCCACUAUUAGACCAUGUUUUUUUUGAAGAUUUGAGGUUUGACCUUGAUGUUUCUCCUCCAGACCUUCAUAAAUCUAUGGUUCUAUGGUCUCUCAGGCAUGUGCUCCGGCAUAUUCAAGCAUUAGAGGGUCAGAUUCUACCUCUCCGACUCAAGAUCGGGCUUUCUUCCAAGCCUUUCUCAUUUCUAGGGUUUCUCUGGAACCCCAAGCUAUUCGAGGUUUUUCUCUAUUUGUUUUCUUAAAUCUAUGAUAUAUUUGUGUUCUACUGGAGGUGUAAAGUGUUUUUCCCAAUCUUUUCUUUAAAAUGGCUUCUUGUCGAUUUAGGGUUUCUGAAAGGUUUUCAAAAACAUCUUUCUGAUUCUUUUCUUUAUGUGUUUUUGUCUAUAUUAUGUUCGUGUGUUUUCUUUUCUACCACACAUGUAUUGUUCUUCUACUUUUCUUUCUACUAUACUUUGUAUUAUACUGUGUCUUUAAACUUGGCUCGCAUAUCAAUCUUUGUUAUGAUCUUCUAUCUGUUCGAAGCUAUAUUCUAUUGUAUGUUUUCUUAUUAAGUUCUUAAGUUUGUUUACCUUUGCUAAACUUCUGUUUGAGUUCUAAACAUGCUUCAUUUACUGUUUCUUGAGUUUAUAUCACUUCUUCUCUAUUCCAACUUGCUUAAAUUUCGAGCUUUUCUCGAACAUGUUCUUUAUGCUUUCAAUCCCGCUAUCAAGGUCUGUUGGUUUCUCAUGAGUCUCUAAAAGAGACCUCUGAGUCUGUUUCGAUGGCUUGCCUUCUCAUCUCUAUGUCUGAUUCGAUUUGAAACCCUAGGAUAUGGGGGUUUCUUUGGCAAGUUUGAUUAGGGUUCUACUUUGGAACCCUGAACUAACAGACUCAUUUUAAGUACUAUGAACUGAAUUUGAAACUCGUUGCUUAUGAUUCUGAACCUUUCUAUGCUUGUCUUUUCUAAUUAGCAUGACAUCUCCUUCUUGCUUAUUUGUGUACUUCAUAUAUGAGAAUUUCUUCUUGCAAAAAGGGUUUUUGCCGACUAAUGGAUUGAUUUCGAAAUCCUUUUAACAAGGCCUGGCUAAUUGUUACUGAUUUUUUUCUUUAAUUUUACCUUUUUCUGACUUGGUUCAUUCGAACAAAGCCUGUGAUUUUGAUUUCGCUGGUUGUUUGGUUGUUUCCCUUUCCUUAUUUUUCACAAACCGUGUACCACUAAACUUUGCCUUAAAUAAAUCUUGUGUAUUUACCCUUCUUUUGUUACUUUGGAAAAGAUUUUAAUCAAAUUUCUUUCCUUAAAUGUUUUCUACCCGUUUGAAAUCAGAAUCCCUUAACUAAAGGGAGACUUUGUGUGAUUGAUUGCAAACUAUUCCCUUACCUUUUCUUACUUGUUUUCUGUACUAUAAAAGGGGCACUACCCUUCUACACUUAGACCACAUUGAACAUUCAGUUCAACACCUUCAACUUACAUUACCUGUACACGUACAAUUCAGUACUUCUUUGAGUUCAAUACUCGAGCACACAUUAUUCUCUUGCAAUUUGAAUACUCUUGCAACAUUCUACUCUCUUCAAAGAUCCUUUGGACUGUUUGCCUGCAACUUGGUUUUUUUUCAAGACUACUGUUGUACUUGUUUGUUUCCCUGAAACUGGUAUGUUCUAGUUUAAAUUUUCAGCUUCACUCCUAUAUGUGUACUUUAUAGUUUCAGCAUUCUUAUUUACUUUGUUGUUUAUGUUCAAUAUUGACUAUACAUGUUCUUCUCUCUGCAUCUGCUUUUUGUUGUGCAUUCCCCGUACACCUACUCCCUUCUAUGUAUUGAGUUAAGAUUCAUGGCCUGGUAGUAUCCAAAUUACUGCUCAGGUCUGAACCAGAUCCUCAAUGGGUCCUAACUUCCAAAAGUUGGAUAACAGGAUGGUCAGGGGUGUGCCAGCACUCCUAAUUGUUGGGCAUGACCACCAGCCUGCCAGAGCCUUCACAGAAUCCCCUUUAUUGCACUUACACUUAUUCCUAGUUUAUAAGUACUGCCUCCUCCUAUGAGCCUUACUUUGGGACCUUGAGUUCCCUCUGAACUUGGACAUUUGAGGGCUAGCCCUUCCAUAUUGCACUUUAUUCAAUUUUACAACUUAUUUUGGGUAUAAUCACUGCCUGGAGUUCAUGAAGUUUCUAGGAAUCUGACACACCUAAAAAUGAGAAAGGCUUUGGAAAUCAGAUCUUUAGAGUUGGUUUAUUUCAUAUCUCAGACUUUGGGUCUGAAUUAGGCUCUCUCUAGUUGGAAUCUUUAAUUUCUGAUGUAAUUUUAUUUUUCUUAAUUCAUUCGGG
Molecule: long non-coding RNA, 2490 nt
Filed under: Nicotiana benthamiana
Lineage: Eukaryota; Viridiplantae; Streptophyta; Magnoliopsida; Solanales; Solanaceae
Description: long non-coding RNA (NBEN_LNC016549)
Source: RNAcentral